UAGGCUACUAUACUAUCUAUAGUACCGAGCUCCGAUACUAUAGUGUUGGUUUUCGAUCUUAGGGCGUUCAAAUCAACGAUCCACACCAUUAAAACUGAUCUAGGGUAUUUAAAGUUUCUAGAAAUAAAAUUUUAUAUUUUUUCGACAUAGUUUACUUCAUGAUCAAACUAUUUCAAAAUUGUCAAUUUUCAAUGGCUAUUAUGACGAGUUUGGAGUUUAACGGUGUAGAAGAAUCUAAAUUUCUUCAAAUUUUGAUAGAAAAUACUUUAAACUAUAUAGAUUAAGGUUAACAUUCUUGAUCUUGAAUUUAAAAAUCCUAUACUCAAAUUUUAAAAAUUAUUCAAUUUUCACCGUCCAUUUUGAUAUAAUUUAUUUACUAAGUAAACGAUAUCGAAAAAUACUAAAAUUUUAUUCCUAAGAAAUUCAUAUACCCUAGAUCAUAUUUAACG
Molecule: long non-coding RNA, 449 nt
Filed under: Ananas comosus (pineapple)
Lineage: Eukaryota; Viridiplantae; Streptophyta; Magnoliopsida; Poales; Bromeliaceae
Description: long non-coding RNA (ACOM_LNC040922)
Source: RNAcentral